CCUACGGGGGGCUGCAGUGGGGAAAAUUGGACAAUGGGGGGAACCCUGAUCCAGCCAUGCCGCGUGUGUGAAGAAGGCCCUCGGGUUGUAAAGCACUUUCAGUGAGGAAGAACGCCUGGUGGUUAAUACCCAUCAGGAAAGACAUCACUCACAGAAGAAGCACCGGCUAACUCCGUGCCAGCAGCCGCGGUAAUACGGAGGGUGCGAGCGUUAAUCGGAAUUACUGGGCGUAAAGCGCGCGUAGGUGGCUUGAUAAGCCGGUUGUGAAAGCCCCGGGCUCAACCUGGGAACGGCAUCCGGAACUGUCAAGCUAGAGUGCAGGAGAGGAAGGUAGAAUUCCCGGUGUAGCGGUGAAAUGCGUAGAGAUCGGGAGGAAUACCAGUGGCGAAGGCGGCCUUCUGGACUGACACUGACACUGAGGUGCGAAAGCGUGGGUAGCAAACAGGAUUAGAUACCCGAGUAGUC
This 465-nucleotide ribosomal RNA is filed under the name Vreelandella stevensii. Its description in RNAcentral is "partial 16S ribosomal RNA". It matches the Rfam family "Bacterial small subunit ribosomal RNA", at positions 338 to 795 of the family's 1533-position model. Lineage: Bacteria; Pseudomonadati; Pseudomonadota; Gammaproteobacteria; Oceanospirillales; Halomonadaceae. The record is from RNAcentral.